This 443-nucleotide ribosomal RNA is filed under the name uncultured bacterium. RNAcentral's name for it is "partial 16S ribosomal RNA". It matches the Rfam family "Bacterial small subunit ribosomal RNA", at positions 338 to 795 of the family's 1533-position model. The record is from RNAcentral.
CCUACGGGUGGCAGCAGUGGGGAAUAUUGGGCAAUGGGCGCAAGCCUGACCGAGCAACGCCGCGUGAGGGAAGAAGGCUUUCGGGUUGUAAACUUCUUUUCUCAGGGACGAAGGAAGUUACGGUACCUGAGGACUCAGCCACAGCUAACUACGUGCCAGAAGCCGCGGUAAUACGUAGGUGGCAGCCGUUAUCCGGAUUUAAUGGGGGGAAAGGGCGGGUAGGCGGGAGCGCAAGUCAGAUGUGAAAACUCAGGGCUCAAACCUGAGUCUGCAUUUGAAACUGUGUUUCUUGAGUGCAGGAGAGGAGAGUGGAAUUCCGUGUGUAGCGGUGAAAUGCGUAGAUAUACGGAGGAACACCAGUGGCGAAGGCGGAUCGCUGGAUAGUAACUGACGCUGAGGCGCGAAAGCGUGGGGAGCAAACAGGAUUAGAUACCCCAGUAGUC